RNAcentral lists this ribosomal RNA (301 nucleotides) under uncultured bacterium. Its description in RNAcentral is "partial 16S ribosomal RNA". It matches the Rfam family "Bacterial small subunit ribosomal RNA", at positions 509 to 807 of the family's 1533-position model. The record is from RNAcentral.
CAGUAGCCACGGUAAUACGAAGGGGGCUAGCGUUGUUCGGAUUUACUGGGCGUAAAGGGCGCGUAGGCGGGCGAAUAAGUCAGGGGUGAAAUCCCAAGGCUCAACCUUGGAACUGCCUUUGAUACUGUUUGUCUUGAGUCCGGGAGAGGUGAGUGGAACUGCGAGUGUAGAGGUGAAAUUCGUAGAUAUUCGCAAGAACACCAGUGGCGAAGGCGGCUCACUGGCCCGGAACUGACGCUGAGGCGCGAAAGCGUGGGGAGCAAACAGGAUUAGAUACCCCGGUAGUCCCUGUCUCUUAUAC